RNAcentral lists this ribosomal RNA (598 nucleotides) under Achromobacter sp. RNAcentral describes it as "bacterial SSU rRNA". It matches the Rfam family "Bacterial small subunit ribosomal RNA", at positions 57 to 650 of the family's 1533-position model. The record is from RNAcentral. Lineage: Bacteria; Pseudomonadati; Pseudomonadota; Betaproteobacteria; Burkholderiales; Alcaligenaceae.
CCCAGUCGAGCGGCAGCACGGACCUCGGUCCGGUGGCGAGUGGCGGACGGGUGACUUUAGUAUAGGAACGUGCCUGGUAGCGGGGGAUAACUACUCGAAAGCGUAGCUAAUACCGCAUACACCCUACGGGGGAAAGCAGGGGAUCGCAAGACCUAGCACUAUUAGAGCGGCCGAUGUCGGAUUAGCUAGUUGGUGGGGUAACGGCUCACCAAGGCGACGAUCCGUAGCUGGUUUGAGAGGACGACCAGCCACACUGGGACUGAGACACGGCCCAGACUCCUACGGGAGGCAGCAGUGGGGAAUUUUGGACAAUGGGGGAAACCCUGAUGGAGCCAUCCCGCGUGUGCGAUGAAGGCCUUCGGGUUGUAAAGCACUUUUGGCAGGAAAGAAACGUCAUGGGCUAAUACCCCGUGAAACUGACGUUUCCUGCAGAAUAAGCACCGGCUAACUAUCUGCCAGCAGCCGCGGUAAUACGUAGGGUGCAAGCGUUAAUCGGAAUUACUGGGCGUAAAGCGUGCGCAGGCGGUUCGGAAAGAAACGUGUGAAAUCCCACAGCUUAACUUUGGAACUGCAUUUUUAACUACCGAGCUAGAGUUCA